CUUUGUGGAGCUGGGAGGACACAGCUAAAGGAAGAACUUGCGACUUGGGUCACAGAAAAUCCCUUUGAACAAAAGAGAACCUUGGACUUGAAAACUACAGAAGAGGUGAGAAGCAAUAGAUAUCUUUCUCGGCAUCAGUUGAAACCUGCAAGAAAGCUUGGCUUCGGCUGAUAUUUGUGUGGAUUGGAUUUUUUAAGAACCAGAACAGAAGAGACCAGUGCACCCACAUUUUCCUGCCGUGAGUGAUGAAGAGGAGGAAGAAGAAGGUGAGUGUGUCAAGGAUAAUAACCUGUGAUGCC
Molecule: long non-coding RNA, 299 nt
Filed under: Sus scrofa (pig)
Lineage: Eukaryota; Metazoa; Chordata; Mammalia; Artiodactyla; Suidae
Description: lncRNA (ENSSSCG00070027970.1)
Source: RNAcentral